GUGGGGAAUAUUGGACAAUGGGCGAAAGCCUGAUCCAGCCAUGCCGCGUGUGUGAAGAAGGUCUUCGGAUUGUAAAGCACUUUAAGUUGGGAGGAAGGGCAGUAAGUUAAUACCUUGCUGUUUUGACGUUACCGACAGAAUAAGCACCGGCUAACUUCGUGCCAGCAGCCGCGGUAAUACGAAGGGUGCAAGCGUUAAUCGGAAUUACUGGGCGUAAAGCGCGCGUAGGUGGUUUUGUAAGUUGGAGGUGAAAUCCCCGGGCUCAACCUGGGAACUGCCUCCAAAAGUGCAUGACUAGAGUACGGUAGAGGGUAGUGGAAUUUCCUGUGUAGCGGUGAAAUGCGUAGAUAUAGGAAGGAACACCAGUGGCGAAGGCGACUACCUGGACUGAUACUGACACUGAGGUGCGAAAGCGUGGGGAGCAAACAGGAUUAGAAACCCGAGUAGUCC
Molecule: ribosomal RNA, 450 nt
Filed under: uncultured bacterium
Lineage: Bacteria
Description: partial 16S ribosomal RNA
Rfam family: Bacterial small subunit ribosomal RNA
Source: RNAcentral